GAUGUCCUGAUUUUAUAGGGGACAGUCCCGAUUUUUGGGUCUUUUUCUUAUAUAGGCUCCUAUUACCCCCCACCUCCGUCCCGAUUUUUCACCCUUGCUGUCUGGUCACCCUACCCCCAGUGGCCAGUGUAGUGCAGCACCAGCCCUCUCUGCAGAAAGGAGUCUGCGCUGGUAAAUGGUUUCUAUAGCAGCAGCAAGGUUGGCAAACAGGGCUGGGCAGAGACAGCAAGAGUUUCCAACCUCCCAAGGCAUUUAAGCUGUUACUCUUCUGCACUGCUCCUUCUUCUGAACGAUACAUGUAGGAGAUGCAGCCUGAAAAGUCAAAGAAAUUCUCUGCUUCAAAAAUGACUCACACACGCAACCUGGCACCUAGUUUCAAACAAAUGGAUACACUGAGUUCAAUUGAGGCAGAGUACAUAAAGAAUCUACAGAAAGAAGUCUACCUACUGGAACUUGAGACAUCAUUUCUAAGAGAGCAAGCUAAAAAGGCUACCAGUAUUCAACCAAAAAUCAGCACUCAAGCGGAAAAAGUGUUGCAGAAGAUGAAGGAAUUACAGUCAGAAAUAAAUACUGCUCAGCUGGAACUUGGAAAGAAAGAGAACAGCACCAAGUUUUUCGAUGCAGAAAAUCAAGCCAUGCAUAAACGUCUGCAAACUCUAUCAGAUGCAAAUACUAGAGAAAAGCUGUUAUUAAUGGAGGAUGUUACAAAGCUGAAGAAACUUGCUGAGAUUGUCAUUCAGGACAUUUCACACAAAGAAGCAGAGCUACUAGAAGUUCAGAAAGAGCUACAGAGGGCCAUGAAUUCCAUGAAAGAAAAAGAGCAUAAGCGCCAUCAUUUGGAAAAUCAACUACACCAGCAGAUUCAACACCACCAGGAUAUGGAAGCAAAGCUUGUGGAAAAUAGAUCAGAAUGUUUAAGAGUGCAGGCGUUGCUCCACCAGCUGGAGGAGAAAUACCUUACUAGCUCCCAGUCCAUGCAGCAGCAUAUUGCCAAAGAACUUCGGGAGGAAGCUGAAAAAUUAAGACAGCAGCUCAAAGAAAAAGAACUUUCUGCUGAUGAGGAUAAAUAUUUACGCAACAAAAUGGCAGAAGAUUGUGGAUAUCUGACAAAAGAAAAUGGCUUCUUACAGUCUCAGGUUCUGGAAGCAGCCAGGCAGCUAGAUAGAGAGAGGCAGCUGAGAGAGGAGGAAAGCACCUGCCGUACAAGGAGGAUUUCUGAGCUAGCCUGUGAAAAGGAGAAAGAACGACAACUUGAGAUGGAGUUCACUUACGUGAAGAGACUAUUGCAGGAUGAAAGACAGAAGGCUCUUACUGCACAAGAGCAGGUACUACGUCUCCAGCAAGAAAGGAAAUCUGUAAAUCUAAAUGGACAGUCACUUCAGAGCCAGCUAAAAGAUUUAGAAAGGAGAUGGUCAAAAGCUCAACUGGAAAAUUCAAAACUGCGAACAGAAAAAACUCAUUUAGUAGAACAUAUUUCUCAGUUACAUAAACAGGUAAUUACAUUCACUGCUUCUUAAAAAAAAAAGGGGGGGGGGAGUAGGAAAAUUACCUUAGAAGUGAGUCACCCUCAUUAAUUAUAGAAAAAUAUGAAGUGGUAAUUUUAAACCACAUUUAGUUACAGACCGCCACAAUUCUUUUUUCAAGGCUUAUGUCAAAGUUAGUAAAAUAACUCCCAGCAUUUCUUAUUUACACUGGUGUAAAUCUGGAGUAUUGAGUGCAUGGCCUCUUAUUGUAAGCAAUGCAGGUAGCAACACCUGUAGUUACAAGAUAGGGUAUUAUGGAAACCUCCAGGCUGCUUUCAGUUGCUUAUAAUUUCACCAAACUAACAUUGUGGGUUUUCUGAUGGUGUGUACUCAAGCUGAAUUUUUUGGGGAACAUUUCAGCAAAACCAGCCCAAAUGCUUUUCAGAAUGAGGUUGGGAAACACCGCUGUAAAAAUUUAACAUGGGAAAAACAAAUUGUUUAGUUGAGAAGCUCUAGUGCCUCCAUGCUUUGCAGUAGGGACAUACAACCUGGCAAGGGCUGUGUCUCACCCUGUUAUCAGGGAUGUACUUGAAAUGUUUUGAAGACUGUCUAUAAAGUUUAAAUAAGGUUAGUUGUUCCUUGUGAUAAUAGGACACCUGUUUUCGUUUGAACCAAGCCAUUACCCAAAGCCAAAAAUCAGAUUUAUAAAUGCAACGUUAGCCCUUAUGGUUGCUGGGUUAUCAGUCUGUCACAACAUGUACACUAUGCAAUGUACCAACAGUAAUUGCCAUUACCAAAUCAGACCAGUGGUUAGUCUAGUCCAGUAUUUUUUCUCUCGCUUUGAGAUACUUCGAAAAGUACAAGAAAUCCAAGGAAGAAAGUCUGCUUCUAACAGGAUUUAUGGUUCAGACUUACUGAUAAGUAAGGCUCUAGUUUUCACAUCCCAUAUACAUUCCAUGCCCUUUUACCUCAUUCAAAAUAAAGAUCAAAUUCAAGGAAGAAGCUAGGCA
RNAcentral lists this long non-coding RNA (2473 nucleotides) under Chrysemys picta bellii (western painted turtle). Its description in RNAcentral is "lncRNA (ENSCPBG00000007241.1)". The record is from RNAcentral. Lineage: Eukaryota; Metazoa; Chordata; Testudines; Emydidae.